AAAAAAGGUAAGCUACUAAGAGCGAAUGGUGGAUGCCUUGACUGGUAAAGGCGAUGAAGGACGUACUAGACUGCGAUAAGCUACGGGGAGCUGUCAAGAAGCUUUGAUCCGUAGAUUUCCGAAUGGGGCAACCCAAUGUAUAGAGAUAUACAUUACCUAUAUAGGAGCGAACGAGGGGAAUUGAAACAUCUUAGUACCCUCAGGAAAAGAAAUCAAUAGAGAUUGCGUCAGUAGCGGCGAGCGAAAGCGCAAGAGGGCAAACCCAGUGCUUGCACUGGGGGUUGUAGGACUGCAAUGUGCAAGAGGUAAGUUUAGCAGAACAUUCUGGAAAGUAUAACCAUAGAGGGUGAUAGUCCCGUAUGCGAAAAACAAACCUUAGCUAGCAGUAUCCUGAGUAGGGCGGGACACGAGGAAUCCUGUCUGAAUCCGGGUCGACCACGAUCCAACCCUAAAUACUAAUACCAGAUCGAUAGUGCACAAGUACCGUGAGGGAAAGGUGAAAAGAACUGAGGUGAUCAGAGUGAAAUAGAACCUGAAACCAUUUGCUUACAAUCAUUCAGAGCCCUAUGUAGCAAUACAGGGUGAUGGACUGCCUUUUGCAUAAUGAGCCUGCGAGUUGUGGUGUCUGGCAAGGUUAAGCAAACGCGAAGCCGUAGCGAAAGCGAGUCUGAAUAGGGCGCUUAGUCAGAUGCUGCAGACCCGAAACGAAGUGAUCUAUCCAUGAGCAAGUUGAAGCUAGUGUAAGAACUAGUGGAGGACUGAACCCAUAGGCGUUGAAAAGCCCCGGGAUGACUUGUGGAUAGGGGUGAAAGGCCAAUCAAACUUCGUGAUAGCUGGUUCUCUCCGAAAUAUAUUUAGGUAUAGCGUUGUGUCGUAAUAUAAGGGGGUAGAGCACUGAAUGGGCUAGGGCAUACACCAAUGUACCAAACCCUAUCAAACUCCGAAUACCUUAUAUGUAAUCACAGCAGUCAGGCGGCGAGUGAUAAAAUCCGUCGUCAAGAGGGAAACAACCCAGACUACCAGCUAAGGUCCCUAAAUCUUACUUAAGUGGAAAACGAUGUGAAGUUACUUAAACAACCAGGAGGUUGGCUUAGAAGCAGCCAUCCUUUAAAGAAAGCGUAAUAGCUCACUGGUCUAGUGAUUUUGCGCGGAAAAUAUAACGGGGCUAAAGUAAGUACCGAAGCUGUAGACUUGCACACAACUUAGAUUAUUUAAGUUUAGAAUAUUAAGAAACUAAGUUAUAUGUUUUAGUUAUAUUUUUACUGAUUUUUAUAGGGUAAAGAUAGAAAUAAAACUUAGUAAAAUCAGUAAAAAUAUUCUUAGGCUAAAGUUAAGUAGUUUAAGUUGUGUGCAAGUGGUAGGAGAGCGUUCUAUUUGCGUCGAAGGUAUACCGGUAAGGAGUGCUGGAGCGAAUAGAAGUGAGCAUGCAGGCAUGAGUAGCGAUAAUUAAUGUGAGAAUCAUUAACGCCG
This 1470-nucleotide ribosomal RNA is filed under the name Campylobacter jejuni. Its description in RNAcentral is "partial 23S ribosomal RNA". It matches the Rfam family "Bacterial large subunit ribosomal RNA", at positions 1 to 1339 of the family's 2925-position model. Lineage: Bacteria; Pseudomonadati; Campylobacterota; Epsilonproteobacteria; Campylobacterales; Campylobacteraceae. The record is from RNAcentral.